AUACGGAGGGUGCAAGCGUUGUUCGGAAUCACUGGGCGUAAAGGGCGCGCAGGCGGUUUGGUAAGUCAGAUGUGAAAGCCCACGGCUCAACCGUGGAAGUGCAUUUGAAACUGCCAGACUUGAGUACCAGAGGGGAAAGUGGAAUUCCCGGUGUAGAGGUGAAGUUCGUAGAUAUCGGGAGGAAUACCGGUGGCGAAGGCGACUUUCUGGCUGGAUACUGACGCUGAGGCGCGAAAGCGUGGGGAGCAAACAGGAUUAGAAACCCUAGUAGUCC
This 274-nucleotide ribosomal RNA is filed under the name uncultured bacterium. RNAcentral's name for it is "partial 16S ribosomal RNA". It matches the Rfam family "Bacterial small subunit ribosomal RNA", at positions 523 to 796 of the family's 1533-position model. The record is from RNAcentral.